This 1119-nucleotide ribosomal RNA is filed under the name Triticum aestivum (bread wheat). RNAcentral's name for it is "partial small subunit ribosomal RNA". The record is from RNAcentral. Lineage: Eukaryota; Viridiplantae; Streptophyta; Magnoliopsida; Poales; Poaceae.
AUGGGCGUCGAGGAGGCUGCCCGUGGCUUUCGCGGCAACAAGCUCGCGCUCGCCAGCAUCGGCUUCGCCGAAGCCCGCGGCGCCGGCGCGUUCAAGGACGACGGUCUGCUUGGAGUGCGGCUCCCCAAGCCCAAGGACGUCUACCUCGACUGGGACGUAGCAGUCAGGCUCAGCCCGCCGGACGUCGGCGCCGCCGUCAGGACUUUGCUGAGGCGUCGAGAAAUUGCAGAAUUCGUUAGCGGGGCAAUGGCUGGUGCUAUGACUAAAGCCGUUCUUGCUCCUCUAGAAACUAUCAGGACAAGAAUGGUUGUCGGUGUAGGGUCAAAACAGAUUUUCGGCAGUUUCAUGGAGAUCAUGGAACACAAUGGCUGGCAAGGACUUUGGGCAGGCAAUACAAUUAACAUAAUCCGCAUUAUUCCUACUCAAGCAAUUGAGCUCGGCACGUUCGAGUGCGUCAAACGGAGCAUGACGUCGGCACAAGAGAGGUGGAAAGAGGAUGGGUGCCCAAAGAUACAGCUCGGUGGUUUGACGAUCGAGCUACCUCUUCACCUACUAUCUCCAAUCGCCAUUGGAGGCGCGGCAGCUGGAAUAGUCAGCACUUUAGUGUGCCACCCCCUUGAGGUUCUCAAGGAUCGCCUGACUGUUAACCACGAGGCGUAUCCCAGUAGCAUCGCCCUUGCGUUCAACAAGAUCUACAGAACGGAAGGCGUCGGCGGUCUCUAUGCUGGCCUGUGCCCGACGCUGGUCGGCAUGCUCCCUUACAGCACAUGCUACUACUUCAUGUACGAGACGAUCAAGACGUCUUACUGCCGUGCACAUAAGAAGAAGUCGUUGAGCCGCCCCGAGCUGCUGGUCAUCGGAGCUCUUUCAGGUCUGACGGCGAGCACGAUCAGCUUCCCUCUGGAAGUGGCGAGGAAGCGGCUGAUGGUCGGAGCCCUGCGAGGGAGAUGCCCGCCCAACAUGGUCGCGGCCUUGGCCGAGGUGGUCAAGGAGGAGGGCCUCAAGGGGCUGUUCCGCGGGUGGGCGGCGAGCUCCCUCAAGGUCAUGCCCACGUCCGGCGUCACCUGGGUGUUCUACGAGGCAUGCAAGGACAUCCUUCUGGCUCCACACCUAGCCUAG